CCGUGGUGAUGAGCAGAUGUAGGGGGUGGAGCAGAACCGUGGUGAUUGAUAAGCAGAUGGAGGAGGUGGAGCAGAACCGUGGUGAUGAGCAGAUGUAGGGGGUGGAGCAGAACCGUGGUGAUUGAUAAGCAGAUGUAGGAGGUGGAGCAGAACCGCGGUGAUGAGCAGAUGUAGGAGGUGGACCAGAACCGUGGUGAUGAGCAGAUGGAGGAGGUGGAGCAGAACCGUGGUGAUUGAUAAGUAGAUGGAGGAGGUGGAGCAGAACCGUGGUGAUUGAUAAGCAGAUGGAGGAGGUGGAGCAGAACCGUGGUGAUGAGCAGAUGGAGGAGGUGGAGCAGAACCGUGGUGAUUGAUAAGCAGAUGUAGGAGGUGGAGCAGAACCGUGGUGAUGAGCAGAUGGAGGAGGUGGAGCAGAACCGUGGUGAUGAGCAGAUGUAGGAGGUGGAGCAGAACCGUGGUGAUGAGCAGAUGUAGGAGGUGGAGCAGAACCGUGGUGAUUGAUAAGCAGAUGGGGGAGGUGGAGCAGAACCGUGGUGAUGAGCAGAUGUAGGAGGUGGAGCAGAACCGUGGUGAUGAGCAGAUGUAGGGGGUGGAGCAGAACCGUGAUUGAUAAGCAGAUGUAGGAGGUGGAGCAGAACCGUGGUGAUUGAUAAGCAGAUGGGGGAGGUGGAGCAGAACCGUGGUGAUGAGCAGAUGGAGGAGGUGGAGCAGAACCGUGGUGAUUGAUAAGCAGAUGUAGGGGGUGGAGCAGAACCGUGGUGAUGAGCAGAUGUAGGAGGUGGAGCAGAACCGUGGUGAUUGAUGAGCAGAUGUAGGAGGUGGAGCAGAACCGUGGUGAUGAGCAGAUGGAGGAGGUGGAGCAGAACCGUGAUUGAUAAGCAGAUGGAGGAGGUGGAGCAGAACCGUGGUGAUUGAUAAGUAGAUGUAGGAGGUGGGGCAGAACCGUGGUGAUGAGCAGAUGUAGGGGGUGGAGCAGAACCGUGAUUGAUAAGCAGAUGGAGGAGGUGGAGCAGAACCGUGGUGAUUGAUAAGUAGAUGUAGGAGGUGGGGCAGAACCGUGGUGAUGAGCAGAUGGAGGAGGUGGAGCAGAACCGUGGUGAUGAGCAGAUGGAGGAGGUGGAGCAGAACCGUGGUGAUUGAUAAGUAGAUGUAGGAGGUGGGGCAGAACCGUGGUGAUGAGCAGAUGUAGGGGGUGGAGCAGAACCGUGAUUGAUAAGCAGAUGGAGGAGGUGGAGCAGAACCGUGGUGAUUGAUAAGUAGAUGUAGGAGGUGGGGCAGAACCGUGGUGAUGAGCAGAUGGAGGAGGUGGAGCAGAACCGUGGUGAUUGAUAAGCAGAUGUAGGAGGUGGAGCAGAACCGUGGUGAUGAGCAGAUGGAGGAGGUGGAGCAGAACCAUGAUGAUGAGCAGAUGGAGGAGGUGGAGCAGAACCGCGGUGAUGAGCAGAUGGAGGAGGUGGAGCAGAACCAUGGUGAUUGAUAAGCAGAUGUAGGAGGUGGGGCAGAACCGUGGUGAUUGAUAAGCAGAUGGAGGAGGUGGAGCAGAACCGUGGUGAUGAGCAGAUGUAGGGGGUGGAGCAGAACCGUGGUGAUUGAUAAGGAGAUGUAGGAGGUGUUGCUGUUGCUGGAGCUGUGGCAGGAAGUGGUUGAUCACAUUCUUAUUCUCCGGUUGGGUAAUGAGCUCAAGGUUGAAUUGUGAAUGGGUAAAUGAAUGGGUGGAUGGAAAUAGUUAUGGUUCACCUAAUUUUAUGCCCCUAAGGUCCUUGCAAAAGAAAAUGGAGGGAGGAGAGAGAGGAGAAAGGGGAAGAAGUCGCAUUCAAAUUCACUCUCGCCAGUCUCUAAAAUGGCAGAUUCGUUUUGAAACAACUCCACAUUAAGCCUACAGAGGGAAGGCAUGGCUGAUUCUGCUGAGCACCUAUUACAGCUUCAGCAGCAUACCACGUUUCGGUCCACAACAGCUGUGUAAGAUUGUGACGGAGCUGGAAAAUUCCUGUUGCCUAGUGAGGUCAUGUCCUAGCGCAGAACGCAGAAUCACGAAGAGUGACGAAUGCCCGCCGUCAGAUACUGGCCGGACUGCCUGUCAUGCAGCAACGCACAAUGGAAGCACACCCUUCUCCUGUUCCCAGUGGUCAGAGCCACCCAAGUGGGGCUGUGGGCACCCAGCACUUCUACUUCAGGAUGGAGACCCCCUGCUGCCUGGCUCCCUCCCCAGGCCCGCCAGGCUAGUCCCCUCCCCUGUCCCUCUCUCAGGCCUGCUCUCAUAGCCACGCGGGCCUUUCUGCUGCACACGCCAGCUCAGUUCGGGGCUCAGUAACCCCCUCCCAAUUCAGGGGCAUGACUCCUUCCAGAUUCUCCUUAAAUAUCACCUCCUCCAAAAAGCCUUCCCCAAUCACCUCGCCUAAAGUAGGGCCUCCUCAUUUUUCUACCUAAAUCUAUGGGGAGUUGUUUGCUUAGUUGCAAGUAUCAUGAUCUUGCUUUGUGUUGCCUUUUUACAUAUUUAUUGCCUUUUUAUUUCAUUAGCAUAUGUGCUCCAAUACGGUGGAGACUGUGGUUUAUCUUGUUCAUGCCUGGACUUCCAGCAGCAUUCAGAAGAGGACUUCUUUCUUUCUUUCCUUCUUUUGAGAUGGAGUUUGGCUUUUGUUGCCCAGGCUGGAGUGCAGUGGUGCGACCUCGGCUCGCCGCAACCUCCGCCUCUUGGGUUCAAGCAUUUCUCCUACUUCAGCCUCCAGAGUAGCUGGGAUUACAGGCGCACACCACCAUGCCUGGCUGAUUUUGUAUUUUUAGUAGAGAUGGGGUUUCUCCAUGUUGGUCAGGCUGGUCUCGAACUCCCGUCCUCAAGUGAUCCGCCCGCCUGGGCCUCCCAAAGUGCAGAAGAGAAUUUGGGGAAGCCUCGUGAGUGAGUGACAGCCCGCGCCCCCGGCGAGGAGGCGGCAAUACCACACGUGACCACCAGAUGCCGCCGCAGUCAAGGGCAGUUGGUCUCCCCUCGCCGGGAUUCGCACCGGACCGAGGGCUCCAGAACCGAAUCGUCCCCCACAGUCUGUCCUGCGAGGCGGCUUUCCCCAUUACCACCCUCGUUUCGCCAAGGAGAAAACGAGCUCAGAGAGGCAGUGCAUUGGCCCGGGAUCGCACCGGGCGCGAACCCAGGGCCAGUCCUGGCUACCCCAAGGGGAAAGUCGCAGCUUGGUGCUAAUGAAAGUUCAACUGUCCCCAGCAUUGUCAAUGGUUUUUAACAGAGACAGAGCAGGCCCAAGCCUGGGGCAGAGCAUAGAAGCUGGGAAAGCACCAGGAUGUUUAAUGCCUGCAGUCCAAAAUUGGUUGGUAGAAGUACCUACUGUCAGUCCUAACAGUAGAUUCACUUAUCACAUGUCUGCAGGUGUACCCAACAGCUCUGAAGAGACAGCGACCAUCGAGAACGGGCAUGACGAUGGUGGUUUUGUCGAAGAGAAAAGGGGGAAAUGUGGGGAAAAGCAAGAGAGAUCAGAUUGUUCCUGUGUCUGUGUAGAAAGAAGUAGACAUAGGAGACUCCAUUUUGUUCUGUACUAAGAAAAAUUCUUCUGCCUUGGGAUGCUGUUGAUCUAUGACCUUACCCCCAACCCCGUGCUCUCUGAAACAUGUGCUGUGUCCACUAAGGGUUAAAUGGAUUAAGGGCUGUACAGGGUGUGCUUUGUUAAACAGAUGCUUGAAGGCAGCACGCUCCUUAAGAGUCAUCACCACUCCCUAAUCUCAAGUACCCAGGGACAUAAACACUGCGGAAGGCCGGAAGGCCGCAGGGACCUCUGCCUACGAAAGCCAGGUAUUGUCCAAGGUUUCUCCCCAUGUGAGAGUCUGAAAUAUGGCCUCGUGGGAAGGGAAAGACCUGACCAUCCCCCAGCCUGACACCCGUAAAGGGUCUGUGCUGAGGAGGAUUAGUAUAAGAGGAAGGCAUGCCUCUUGCAGUUGAGACAAGAGGAAGGCAUCUGUCUCCUGCCCGUCCCCGGGCAAUGGAAUGUCUCGGUAUAAAACCCGAUUGUACGUUCUAUCUACUGAGAUAGGGAAAAACCGCCUUAGGGCUGGAGGUGGGACAUGCGGGCAGCAAUACUGCUGUGUAAAGCAUUGAGAUGUUUAUGUGUAUGCAUAUCUAAAAGCACAGCACUUAAUCCUUUACAUUGUCUAUGAGGCAAAGACCUUUGUUCACGUGUUUGUCUGCUGACCCUCUCCCCACUAUUGUCUUGUGACCCUGACACAUCCCCCUCUCGGAGAAACACCCACAAAUGAUCAAUAAAUACUAAAGGAACUCAGAGGCUGGCGGGACCCUCCAUAUGCUGAACGCUGGUUCCCUGGGUCCCCUUAUUUCUUUCUCCAUA
Gorilla gorilla gorilla (western lowland gorilla) is the source of this 4343-nucleotide long non-coding RNA. RefSeq lists it as uncharacterized. The record is from RefSeq and is a predicted model, not a curated record. NCBI's taxonomy places the organism in Eukaryota, Metazoa, Chordata, Mammalia, Primates, Hominidae. The transcript has 4 exons.